Molecule: ribosomal RNA, 546 nt
Filed under: Triticum aestivum (bread wheat)
Lineage: Eukaryota; Viridiplantae; Streptophyta; Magnoliopsida; Poales; Poaceae
Description: partial small subunit ribosomal RNA
Source: RNAcentral
AUGGCCUCCCGUUCGAGGACCCCGCGGCCUCAAGCCUCCCGUGCCCGAGCUCCUUCUCCUCUUCGAGCCGAGGCUCCCUGCAGCCUCGCAUCCCGCAGCUCGCCCGUCCUCGGAGCUCCCUGCCGCGGUGCUCCCCUUCUCUGUCGUCGCCCGCCUCCAACCUCGACGCCGCCACCACGUCCUGACCGCCCCGCGCCCGAGGCCCUGCCUUCUCCUCGUCCGCAUCGACCGAAGCCAGCAGAUGAGCCCCGUCGCGCCCUCUUCUUCCCCCGUUUUCCUCCUCUCUGUACCUCAUCUCUCUCUCGUUCUUUGUGUACCAGGAUCCACGCCGCCUCGAUCCCCUUCGGCAGCAGCCUCGCCGCCGGCCUCCUGCCAUCGCCCAGAUCCGCAGCCGUCCCGCCGGAGUUCCUCGCGCCCUGCCGGCCUGCUUCCUCCUCUGCACCACGCCUGGCCCCCCUGCCUCGAACUGCUGCUUCUGUUUUCUUCAGAAAACGAGAGCAGCGCUGCAUCGAGCGCCUGCUUGAUCCAUCCGCUCGCCCGCGUUGA